Phyllostomus discolor (pale spear-nosed bat) is the source of this 84-nucleotide long non-coding RNA. RefSeq lists it as uncharacterized. The record is from RefSeq and is a predicted model, not a curated record. The transcript has 3 exons. NCBI's taxonomy places the organism in Eukaryota, Metazoa, Chordata, Mammalia, Chiroptera, Phyllostomidae.
AUAUAUCAAGUAGAAUUAGACAGGCAAAGAAACAAGAAAUGCUGGUUAACUAUUACAAACUAAGCACAGGCAGAGGCAAAAUUG